CGGAUGAAAUAAAGGAACUAAGUUCAACAAACAGGUAGCUUCUGCCGGAGGUUGAGUCGAAAACCGAAAGGAAGCUAAGCAUGUAGAAAGCAAAUUAAUUCCUCGUUUGGACGAAGGUUCGAGUCCCUCCAUCUCCACAA
This 140-nucleotide transfer-messenger RNA is filed under the name Dysgonamonadaceae bacterium. RNAcentral's name for it is "partial transfer-messenger RNA". It matches the Rfam family "transfer-messenger RNA", at positions 231 to 374 of the family's 374-position model. From Rfam's summary of the family: Bacterial tmRNA, also known as 10Sa RNA or SsrA, is named for its dual tRNA and mRNA-like properties. The record is from RNAcentral. Lineage: Bacteria; Pseudomonadati; Bacteroidota; Bacteroidia; Bacteroidales; Dysgonomonadaceae.